Molecule: microRNA precursor, 136 nt
Filed under: Hordeum vulgare
Lineage: Eukaryota; Viridiplantae; Streptophyta; Magnoliopsida; Poales; Poaceae
Description: microRNA MIR1122
Rfam family: MIR1120/MIR1122 microRNA precursor family
Source: RNAcentral
CAAGUACUCCCUCCGUCCCAAAAUUAUUGUCUUGGAUUUUUUUAGAUAUGGAUGUAUCUAGUCACGUUUUAGUAUCUAAAUGCAUUCAUAUCUAGAAAAAUCCAAGACAAGAAUUUUGGGACGGAGGGAGUACAUU